AGAUGCCCACCAUUCCUGGUCUGCCCACCAGGCCUUGUUUCUACGACAUCGACCUGGACCCUGAGACUGAACAGGUCAACGGACUCUUCUAAAAAGGCCUCUGCACUGUACGAUGACCCAGUGUCCCCCCCACUGAGCCUUAAUGAGACGUGAUGGACUCCUAACUGGAAGCGCCGUGAGAUUCUCCUCUGGUGCUGUUUUUGUUUGUUGUUUUUCACUCUGACACUGACAUCUGUAAAUAAUUGAUUUGCUUCGCCCAGAAGGCUGCCGAUGGGUAAAUCAAAAAAACUUAAUUAAUCACAGAACGGUUUAUUCCUCUGAGAUAGUCACUCUGUAAUAGACUUUUUGCAAGGAGGAAGUGUCCUAUUGACUUCUCUUUUAGGUACAAUGCUCGCUGCACAUUAACAAGCAUCACAGAACUAAGCCUAGACUCUUAAGAGGUAAAUCUGGACUCUAUUAAGUAAUUGUGUAUAUUUUGUUUGCACUAUACCACGAGCAUCUCCUCCAGGCCACCAUCUCUAACAAAUCUGUUUGCCUUUGGGAUACAAUUAUUAUUAAAAAAACAUCUGAACAUGAAAAUAAUGCUGCUUAACAAACUCUUUUUUUUUUUUAGCAAUCCUGUGUCCGUUGCAUAUCAAAUGUCCUGUUUCAUCUGUCCUGUUUCUGAUUGAAUAUUUCUAACCAAGUCUAACACUGCUAGAGAAGUCAUGAUGCUGUAAAUCAGUGGUUUCAACUUUUCUGUCAGAAAACAUCGAAUAAAGUGUCCUUGAUGGAAAACCCUCAA
Epinephelus lanceolatus (giant grouper) is the source of this 784-nucleotide non-coding RNA. NCBI's taxonomy places the organism in Eukaryota, Metazoa, Chordata, Actinopteri, Perciformes, Serranidae. The record is from RefSeq and is a predicted model, not a curated record.